This 277-nucleotide ribosomal RNA is filed under the name uncultured bacterium. RNAcentral's name for it is "partial 16S ribosomal RNA". It matches the Rfam family "Bacterial small subunit ribosomal RNA", at positions 28 to 291 of the family's 1533-position model. The record is from RNAcentral.
GACGAACGCUGGCGGCGUGCGUAACACAUGCAAGUCGAGGGGGUGUAUGGGGCAACCUGUACAUCACCGGCGAACGGGUGCGUAACACGUAAGCGACCUACCGUAGUGUGGGGCAUAGCCGGUCUAACGGCCGGGUAAUUCCGCAUACGCUCUUUGGGCGGCAUCGUCUGGAGAGGAAAGCUGUUGGGGUAACCCAAUGGCGCACUAUGAGGGGCUUGCGGCCUAUCAGCUAGUUGGUGGAGGUAACGGCUCCCCAAGGCGACGACGGGUAGCUGGU